Molecule: long non-coding RNA, 1275 nt
Organism: Callithrix jacchus (white-tufted-ear marmoset)
Lineage: Eukaryota; Metazoa; Chordata; Mammalia; Primates; Cebidae
Source: RefSeq, a predicted model, not a curated record
UAUUAGCCUCAUAAAAUGUUAGGUGGCUUUCUCUUUUUCUGCUUUUUCAAACGACUCAUGUAAGAUAGACAUUAUCUAAUCCUUCAAAAUUCAGCACCAGUGCUGAGGCUUUGGGAGUGGUUGGGAAGGUCUUUGGUUGCCAUUUUAAUUUCCUUAAUGGUUAUUGGACUAUUAACAUAUACAAUUUACACCUUCUUAUAUGUGGGACAAUUUUUUUAACUUUCUAGUCAGUUACAUUAAUUAAAUUUAGUAUGUGUUUCUUUUUAAAUGUGUUGCUGGUCUUGAACCCCUAGACACAAGUGAUCAUCCCAUCCUGGUUUCCCAAAUGGCUGGUAUUAUGCACAUGAACCAUAGAACCCAGCUGAUAUAUGUGGUUUAAAAUAAAUGAUCAUAUGUAAGUAAAUGUUGUUAGGUAGCUGCUAUUUUUAAAAAGCCAUUUUCAACUAUACAUUUGAAUGGAUCUGUAAGUCCAGAUAUUGUGACCCAGUAUUUAUUGUUGUUGUUAACUGUUAUAACUCAAACUUACUAUAUUUCUUUCAAGCAAAUGAGCCAGAUGACUGAAGCUGGCUGGAACAUCACAUGGUCCAUCAGUGCUGGACAGCCAGGCCUUCCCAGUUUCCUCAUAGCUUACAUUUGCACUCCAGUUUAGCUGCUGUCUGAGCUUGGGGCAGGAGCAGCUGAACCUUCACCAUCUAGAGGCAAGACUGGAGUACUCGACACCCAUCCUUGCUGUGCUCCUGAAGAACCAGGGUCGCAGACUUUACCUUGUGGAUUCAGAGAGGAGACUGCUGUUGCCAAGCCCUGCUGAGCAUCAUUUCUGGUUUGGCAGAGUUGAUGAGCCUCCUGCUUCUUGAAUACUCCUGACUCAUCUCUGCAGAGCAGACACACCUCACUUCUUGGAAAUCACUGAAGAAUGUUCUGUGCAAGAGAAGCUGGCAACCUGUAUUUUACUGCUCAAAAAAGAAAAUACAAGGCUCAACUUGGUUCUGAUGCAGAACUCAGGAGCUCCUAAAAGAGCAAGUGGAAUGAAAUGCUUCCUUUUUUAUUUUCUUCUCUUUAGAAACCAUUAACCCAUUGUUUAUUUGGAAAUGGCUUAUGUGGCAUGCAGAAUAUAUGAACACAAAAACUGAACAUUUAUUUAUCCAUUAUAUUAAACAUGCUGUGACUGCUUCAAGCUGAGUGAUGCACAACUUGUGUCAAUGCAAAAUUCAAUAUAGAAUUCUGACAUAUGUUAAUAAAACUUUGGUAUAAGGCAAAAAAAAAAAAGAAAGAAAG